AGUAAGGGAGGAUCUGUAAAGCUCAGGAGGGAUAGCGCCAGAUGAAUUAACCAAGAUUCUAACAAUUAAGCGUUUAUUUGGUCAUCAUCUGACGCUAUCCAUCCUGAGUUUCAUGGCUUCUUCUUACU
Non-coding RNA from Malus domestica (apple), 128 nucleotides. RefSeq annotates it as microRNA MIR390c. The record is from RefSeq and is marked provisional. Lineage: Eukaryota; Viridiplantae; Streptophyta; Magnoliopsida; Rosales; Rosaceae.